This 394-nucleotide ribosomal RNA is filed under the name uncultured Anaeromyxobacter sp. RNAcentral's name for it is "bacterial SSU rRNA". It matches the Rfam family "Bacterial small subunit ribosomal RNA", at positions 67 to 447 of the family's 1533-position model. Lineage: Bacteria; Pseudomonadati; Myxococcota; Myxococcia; Myxococcales; Anaeromyxobacteraceae. The record is from RNAcentral.
CGAGAAAGCCCGCAAGGGUGAGUACAGCGGCGCACGGGUGAGUAACACGUGGGUAAUCUGCCCUGGAGUCCGGAAUAACUCGCCGAAAGGCGUGCUAAUGCCGGAUGAGACCACGGGGGCUUCGGCCCCUGAGGGAAAAGGUGGCCUCUGCAUGCAAGCUAUCACUUCAGGAUGAGCCCGCGGCCCAUCAGCUCGUUGGCGGGGUAACGGCCCACCAAGGCUACGACGGGUAGCUGGUCUGAGAGGACGAUCAGCCACACUGGAACUGAGACACGGUCCAGACUCCUACGGGAGGCAGCAGUGGGGAAUCUUGCGCAAUGGGCGAAAGCCUGACGCAGCAACGCCGCGUGUGUGAUGAAGGUCUUCGGAUCGUAAAGCACUGUCGCGAGGGACG